Non-coding RNA from Podarcis lilfordi (Lilford's wall lizard), 788 nucleotides. The record is from the annotation of a GenBank genome assembly. Lineage: Eukaryota; Metazoa; Chordata; Lepidosauria; Squamata; Lacertidae.
GCUUCCCUUCUUCCUUUCACGUGGUGAGUAGCGGGGAGCAGGGUUUAAAAGGAGCGAAUAAGUUCAAGCAGGCGCGCGAUCAUUUUUUUGGUGAGAGUCUUUCUGUUUCUGUUUGUGAAAUAAAAUAUGUGUUUACAGUUCUAGACAGAAUUAACGUAUUGGGUUGAAACAGUAAAUGAGUAAGAAGCUUGUGUACCUAUAAUUAAUCGAGACUAGAGUCACAUCUUGAUGUCUUCAGUCGUUGUGGUGUGCUAUAGUACUCGGAGAGAAAAACUAAUCUUUAUUCACUGACUUUGUUGUUCUGUAGCAAAGUCAGUCACCAGGUUAGUGACAGACCUACACCUGAAUUCCAGUGAACUUUCUGAAAAUUGGGGGAGGCAGAGUGCUGAUUAAAGUGACUAAAGAGUUUCAAGGGAAGAGAUUUGUAAGUAAAAAUGAGCCACACAGCAACAUUGCAUUGUUUUUUUCCUUUGUAGCCAUUCAGUUUAUUUGGAAAAGUUGUUACGAGACCUUACUGCUUGAAGGGGGGGAAACUAUGCACCAGAUCAACUCUGCGUGCUAAGUGGAUGAGCCCCCAAACCACGCUGGAUUAAGAGUACCUGCUGAUUUUGUAGUCUUGGUAAGUUUGUGAGGAGCAAAUACAGACUUUAGAUUACAGGCAUCUUCAACCUUUUCAGGCCCAGGACCCGCUUUUAACCCAAACAUGAAUUUGGCAACCCAUUUCUUACUCUUUUACCAUAUAUUUGCAUGGUGAUACUGCUCCUGUUGCAAACCACCUUGGAUCAGGC